Molecule: transfer RNA, 73 nt
Organism: Camelus ferus (Wild Bactrian camel)
Lineage: Eukaryota; Metazoa; Chordata; Mammalia; Artiodactyla; Camelidae
Rfam family: tRNA
About the family: Transfer RNA (tRNA) molecules are approximately 80 nucleotides in length.
Source: Rfam
GAGGGUAUAGCUCAAGCGGUCGAGUGCACGCUUUGCAUGCAUGAGGUCCUGGGUUCAAUCCCUAGUACCUCCU